GGGCUUCCUGAGCUUGUAKACUUCGGUCUGCUACCUCUUACCCAUGUCUUUUGAGUACCUUCGUUUCCUCGGCGGGUCCGCCCGCCGAUUGGACAACAUUCAAACCCUUUGCAGUUGCAAUCAGCGUCUGAAAAAACAUAAUAGUUACAACUUUCAACAACGGAUCUCUUGGUUCUGGCAUCGAUGAAGAACGCAGCGAAAUGCGAUAAGUAGUGUGAAUUGCAGAAUUCAGUGAAUCAUCGAAUCUUUGAACGCACAUUGCGCCCCUUGGUAUUCCAUGGGGCAUGCCUGUUCGAGCGUCAUUUGUACCUUCAAGCUCUGCUUGGUGUUGGGUGUUUGUCUCGCCUCUGCGUGUAGACUCGCCUUAAAACAAUUGGCAGCCGGCGUAUUGAUUUCGGAGCGCAGUACAUCUCGCGCUUUGCACUCAUAACGACGACGUCCAAAAGUACAUUUUUACACUCUUGACCUCGGAUCAGGUAGGGAUACCCGCUGAACUUAAGCAUAUCAAUAAGCGGAGGAGA
Molecule: ribosomal RNA, 521 nt
Filed under: Epicoccum nigrum
Lineage: Eukaryota; Fungi; Ascomycota; Dothideomycetes; Pleosporales; Didymellaceae
Description: eukaryotic LSU rRNA
Source: RNAcentral